UUCCUUUCAUGCCUCUAUGUAUCAUUUUCAAUAUGCUUUAUAUUAGUAAAAGAAGUAAAAACAUAGAAAGAAGAACAUGGAGAGAAAAGGAGAAAAUUUGUGGAAAGAAGAAAAGAAGAACUUGGAGGAAUCAAAACAUGAAACCAUCAUCAUCAUCAUCAUUUCAUCUCUACAUCUUACAACAACAACUUCUUCAUCUCAUUAGCCCUUUCUGAUGGAAAUGACUCUUGUAUUGGUGACCUAUAUGCUACUUGAAGAAAUCAUGCAGACAAGAGGAGUCUUGAAGAUCUUAAAAAUUAGGCCUUGGAAGAAUUAGGAAUUAUGUUUAAAUCUUUUUUUUUAUAAGAUCAAAUGACACUAAUAAUAUUCAUGCUACUUGUAAACCUUUGUGGCAAAGCGAAUCUUAAUCAUAAACGAUAUGAAAAGAAAAUUUAUGACA
Molecule: long non-coding RNA, 439 nt
Organism: Lathyrus oleraceus (garden pea)
Lineage: Eukaryota; Viridiplantae; Streptophyta; Magnoliopsida; Fabales; Fabaceae
Exons: 2
Source: RefSeq, a predicted model, not a curated record